UACGGGAGGCAGCAGUGGGGAAUAUUGCACAAUGGGCGAAAGCCUGAUGCAGCUAUGCCGCGUGUAUGAAGAAGGCCUUAGGGUUGUAAAGUACUUUCAUCGGGGAGGAAAAAACAAAACUAAUAAUUUUAUUUCUUGACGUUACCCGAAAAAGAAGCACCGGCUAACUCCGUGCCAGCAGCCGCGGUAAUACGGAGGGUGCUAGCGUUAAUCAGAAUUACUGGGCGUAAAGAGCACGUAGGUGGUUUUUUUAAGUUCAGAUGUGAAAUCCCUGGGCUUAACCUAGGAACUGCAUUUUGAAACUGAAAUACUAGAGUAUCGUAGAGGGAGGUAGAAUUCUAGGUGUAGCGGUGAAAUGCGUAGAUAUCUGGAGGAAUACCUGUGGCGAAAGCGGCCUCCUAAACGAAUACUGACACUGAGGUGCGAAAGCGUGGGGAGCAAACAGGAUUAGAUACC
RNAcentral lists this ribosomal RNA (456 nucleotides) under uncultured bacterium. RNAcentral describes it as "bacterial SSU rRNA". It matches the Rfam family "Bacterial small subunit ribosomal RNA", at positions 340 to 786 of the family's 1533-position model. The record is from RNAcentral.